UCUUGGACCGUGGCCAGACGAACUACAGCGAAAGCAUUUGCCAAGAGUGUCUUCAUUAAUCAAGAACGAAAGUCAGAGGUUCGAAGGCGAUCAGAUACCGCCCUAGUUCUGACCGUAAACGAUGCCAACUAGCGAUCCGCCGAUGGAGACUUGUCGCCUUGGUGGGGAGCUUCCCGGAAACGAAAGUCUUCCGGUUCCGGGGGAAGUAUGGUUGCAAAGCUGAAACUUAAAGGAAUUGACGGAAGGGCACCACCAGGAGUGGAGCCUGCGGCUUAAUUUGACUCAACACGGGAAAACUCACCCGGCCCGGACACUGUAAGGAUUGACAGAUUGAUAGCUUUUUCAUGAUUCAGUGGAUGGUGGUGCAUGGCCGUUCUUAGUUCGUGGAUUGAUUUGUCUGGUUUAUUCCGAUAACGAGCGAGACUCCAGCCUACUAAAUAGUCGGCGUAUUUGUCAUAUGUGCGUACGGCUUCUUAGAGGGAUUUACGGUGUUCAGCCGCAAGAGACGGAGCAAUAACAGGUCUGUGAUGCCCUUAGAUGUCCGGGGCUGCACGCGCGCUACACUGGCAAAAUCAACGUGCUUGUCCUGCCCCGAAAGGGGCGGGUAAACCCUUGAAAAUUUGCCGUGAUUGGGAUCGGAAAUUGCAAUUAUUUUCCGUGAACGAGGAAUUCCAAGUAAGUGCGAGUCAUCAGCUCGCGUUGAUUACGUCCCUGCCCUUUGUACACACCGCCCGUCGCUGCCCGGGACUGAGCCAUUUCGAGAAACU
This 767-nucleotide ribosomal RNA is filed under the name Meloidogyne mali. Its description in RNAcentral is "SSU rRNA". It matches the Rfam family "Eukaryotic small subunit ribosomal RNA", at positions 918 to 1708 of the family's 1831-position model. Lineage: Eukaryota; Metazoa; Nematoda; Chromadorea; Rhabditida; Meloidogynidae. The record is from RNAcentral.